UACGGGGGGAGCAAGCGUUGUUCGGAUUUACUGGGCGUAAAGGGCGCGUAGGCGGUCAGCACAGGUCAGUUGUGAAAUCUCCGGGCUUAACUCGGAAAGGUCAACUGAUACUGUGCGACUAGAGUGCAGAAGGGGCAACUGGAAUUCUCGGUGUAGCGGUGAAAUGCGUAGAUAUCGUAAGGAAGACCAGUGGCGAAGGCGAGUCUCUGGACAGUUCCUGACACUGAGGCGCGAAGGCCAGGGGAGCAAACGGG
RNAcentral lists this ribosomal RNA (254 nucleotides) under uncultured bacterium. RNAcentral's name for it is "partial 16S ribosomal RNA". It matches the Rfam family "Bacterial small subunit ribosomal RNA", at positions 524 to 776 of the family's 1533-position model. The record is from RNAcentral.